This 252-nucleotide ribosomal RNA is filed under the name uncultured bacterium. RNAcentral's name for it is "partial 16S ribosomal RNA". It matches the Rfam family "Bacterial small subunit ribosomal RNA", at positions 524 to 776 of the family's 1533-position model. The record is from RNAcentral.
UACGAGGGACCUAGCGUUGUUCGGAAUUAUUGGGCGUAAAGGGUGUGUAGGUGGCUUUUUAAGUCAGUUGUGAAAUCCCCGGGCUCAACCCGGGAAGUGCUUCUGAUACUAUUAAGCUUGAGUACUGGAGAGGUGAGUGGAAUUCCUGGUGUAGUGGUGAAAUACGUAGAUAUCAGGAGGAACACCGGUGGCGAAGGCGGCUCACUGGCCAUGUACUGACACUGAAACACGAAAGCGUGGGGAUCAAACAGG